RNAcentral lists this small RNA (27 nucleotides) under Bombyx mori (domestic silkworm). Its description in RNAcentral is "ovarian small RNA-35524". The record is from RNAcentral. Lineage: Eukaryota; Metazoa; Arthropoda; Insecta; Lepidoptera; Bombycidae.
UGUAUUAGAUGUUUGGCAUAUAAAGUG